GGGGGCGUUUUUGGAUUCGACGGGGGUAGUUCGAGCAUGGGUAGCGGGUAGUGGGGACGCGUCCGCUUCAUCAACGCUAAAGCCUAUUAAACGGCAAACAACAACAAAACUACGCUUUCGCAGCUUAAUAACCUGUGAGCGUGCUCCUCUCCUGUAUCGCCCAUGUGCCGGAUGUAGGGGCUAACCUUUAGUGGGAUACGCUGUCACAUCUCCGCCUGGGGUGUGCUGAAGAAGACAAUCAGGCUGACCUUAGCGAGAGCCGGUUACGGGGCGCUUGCUUGGGUGACAUCAAACCCGUGACUACACCCGUAGAAGCUUAUGUGUCGUUAUCUUCGGACAGGGGUUCGACUCCCCUCGCCUCCAUAC
Molecule: non-coding RNA, 366 nt
Organism: Paenibacillus sp. HGF7
Lineage: Bacteria; Bacillati; Bacillota; Bacilli; Caryophanales; Paenibacillaceae
Rfam family: transfer-messenger RNA
About the family: Bacterial tmRNA, also known as 10Sa RNA or SsrA, is named for its dual tRNA and mRNA-like properties. Its role is to liberate the mRNA from a stalled ribosome.
Source: Rfam